GACAGAGGGUGCAAACGUUGCUCGGAAUCACUGGGCGUAAAGGGCUCGUAGGCGGCCAACUAAGUCGGACGUGAAAUCCCCAGGCUCAACCUGGGAACUGCGUCCGAUACUGGAUGGCUUGAAUUCGGGAGAGGGAUGCAGAAUUCCAGGUGUAGCGGUGAAAUGCGUAGAUAUCUGGAGGAAUACCGGUGGCGAAGGCGGCAUCCUGGACCGACAUUGACGCUGAGGAGCGAAAGCUAGGGGAGCAAACGGG
Molecule: ribosomal RNA, 253 nt
Filed under: uncultured bacterium
Lineage: Bacteria
Description: partial 16S ribosomal RNA
Rfam family: Bacterial small subunit ribosomal RNA
Source: RNAcentral